Molecule: ribosomal RNA, 582 nt
Filed under: uncultured bacterium
Lineage: Bacteria
Description: partial 16S ribosomal RNA
Rfam family: Bacterial small subunit ribosomal RNA
Source: RNAcentral
UGGGGAAUUUUGGACAAUGGGCGAAAGCCUGAUCCAGCAAUGCCGCGUGUGUGAAGAAGGCCUUCGGGUUGUAAAGCACUUUUGUCCGGAAAGAAAUCCUUGGCUCUAAUACAGUCGGGGGAUGACGGUACCGGAAGAAUAAGCACCGGCUAACUACGUGCCAGCAGCCGCGGUAAUACGUAGGGUGCAAGCGUUAAUCGGAAUUACUGGGCGUAAAGCGUGCGCAGGCGGUUUGCUAAGACCGAUGUGAAAUCCCCGGGCUCAACCUGGGAACUGCAUUGGUGACUGGCAGGCUAGAGUAUGGCAGAGGGGGGUAGAAUUCCACGUGUAGCAGUGAAAUGCGUAGAGAUGUGGAGGAAUACCGAUGGCGAAGGCAGCCCCCCUGGGGCCAAAUACUGACGCUCAUGCACGAAAAGCGUGGGGAGCAAAACAGGAUUAGAUACCCUGGUAGUCCACGCCCCUAAAACGAUGUCAACUAGUUGUUGGGGGAUUCAUUUCCUUAGUAACGUAGCUAACGCGUGAAGUUGACCGCCUGGGGAGUACGGUCGCAAGAUUAAAGCUCAAAUGAAUUGACGGGGUCAU